GAUGAACGCUGGCGGCGUGCCUAAUACAUGCAAGUCGAGCGAACAGACGAGGAGCUUGCUCCUCUGACGUUAGCGGCGGACGGGUGAGUAACACGUGGAUAACCUCCCUAUAAGACUGGGAUCACUUCGGGAAACCGGAGCUAAUACCGGAUAAUAUAUUGCACCGCAUGGUUCAAUAGUGAAAGACGGUUUUGCUGUCACUUAUAGAUGGAUCCGCGCCGCAUUGGCUAGUGGGUAAGGUAACGGCUUACCACGGCGACGAGUCGGAGCCGACCUGAGAGGGUGAUCGGCCACACUGGAACUGGGACACGGUCCAGACUCCUACGGGAGGCAGCAGUAGGGAAUCUUCCGCAAUGGGCGAAAGCCUGACGGAGCAGCGCCGCGUGAGUGAUGAAGGUCUUCGGAUCGUAAAACUCUGUUAUGAGGGAAGAACAAAUGUGUAAGUAACUAUGCACGUCUUGACGGUACCUAAUCAGAAAGCCACGGCUAACUACGUG
This 497-nucleotide ribosomal RNA is filed under the name uncultured bacterium. Its description in RNAcentral is "partial 16S ribosomal RNA". It matches the Rfam family "Bacterial small subunit ribosomal RNA", at positions 28 to 507 of the family's 1533-position model. The record is from RNAcentral.